RNAcentral lists this ribosomal RNA (440 nucleotides) under Pectobacterium carotovorum. Its description in RNAcentral is "bacterial SSU rRNA". It matches the Rfam family "Bacterial small subunit ribosomal RNA", at positions 338 to 795 of the family's 1533-position model. RNAcentral also lists the same sequence under 1 other name. The record is from RNAcentral. Lineage: Bacteria; Pseudomonadati; Pseudomonadota; Gammaproteobacteria; Enterobacterales; Pectobacteriaceae.
CCUACGGGAGGCUGCAGUGGGGAAUAUUGCACAAUGGGGGCAACCCUGAUCCAGCGAUGCCGCGUGAGUGAUGAAGGCCCUAGGGUUGUAAAACUCUUUCGUCAGGGAAGAUAAUGACGGUACCUGAAGAAGAAGAUCCGGCUAACUCCGUGCCAGCAGCCGCGGUAAUACGGAGGGGUCUAGCGUUAUUCGGAAUUACUGGGCGUAAAGCGAGCGUAGGCGGAUUUGUAAGUUGGAGGUGAAAUCCCAGAGCUUAACUCUGGAACUGCCUUCAAAACUACAUUUCUUGAGUUUGGUAGAGGAGAGUGGAAUUCCUAGUGUAGAGGUGAAAUUCGUAGAUAUUAGGAGGAACACCAGUGGCGAAGGCGACUCUCUGGGCCAAUACUGACGCUGAGGUUCGAAAGCAUGGGUAGCGAACAGGAUUAGAUACCCUGGUAGUC